UACAGAGGGUGCGAGCGUUAAUCGGAAUUACUGGGCGUAAAGCGAGUGUAGGUGGCUCAUUAAGUCACAUGUGAAAUCCCCGGGCUUAACCUGGGAACUGCAUGUGAUACUGGUGGUGCUAGAAUAUGUGAGAGGGAAGUAGAAUUCCAGGUGUAGCGGUGAAAUGCGUAGAGAUCUGGAGGAAUACCGAUGGCGAAGGCAGCUUCCUGGCAUAAUAUUGACACUGAGAUUCGAAAGCGUGGGUA
This 245-nucleotide ribosomal RNA is filed under the name uncultured Enhydrobacter sp. RNAcentral's name for it is "partial 16S ribosomal RNA". It matches the Rfam family "Bacterial small subunit ribosomal RNA", at positions 524 to 767 of the family's 1533-position model. The record is from RNAcentral. Lineage: Bacteria; Pseudomonadati; Pseudomonadota; Alphaproteobacteria; Hyphomicrobiales.